GAUGAACGCUGGCGGCGUGCCUAAUACAUGCAAGUCGAGCGAACGGACGCGGAGCUUUCUUUUCUGAUGAUUGCGGCGCACGGGUGUGUAACACGUGGAUAACCUCCCUAUCAGACUGGGAUAACUUCGGGAAACCGGAUCUAAUACCGGAGAAUAUUUUGAUCCGUAUGGUGCAAAAGUUAAAGACUGUCUUGCUGUCACUCAUAGAUGUAUCUGCGCUGCAUUAGCUAGUUGGUGAGGUAACGGCUUACCAAGGCAACGAUGCAUAGCCGACCUGAGAGGGUGAUCGGCCACACUGGAACUGAGACACGGCCCAGACUCCUACGGGAGGCAGCAGUAGGGAAUCUUCCGCAAUGGGCGAAAGCCUGACGGAGCAACGCCGCGUGAGUGAUGAAGGUCUUCGGAUCGUAAAGCUCUGUUAUUAGGGAAGAACGUAUGUGUAAGUAACAGUGCACAUCGUGACGGUACCUAAUCAGAAAGCCACGGCUAACUACGUG
This 497-nucleotide ribosomal RNA is filed under the name uncultured bacterium. RNAcentral describes it as "partial 16S ribosomal RNA". It matches the Rfam family "Bacterial small subunit ribosomal RNA", at positions 28 to 507 of the family's 1533-position model. The record is from RNAcentral.